CGCAGGGUCCCGGUCGAGCUCGAUCCCGCGUGAACUCCGCCAGGUCCGGAAGGAAGCAACGGUAGCGAGGGGUCGGUUGCGAUCGGGGAAGCCCUGCGUUC
This 101-nucleotide signal recognition particle RNA is filed under the name Myxococcales bacterium. RNAcentral's name for it is "signal recognition particle sRNA small type". It matches the Rfam family "Bacterial small signal recognition particle RNA". From Rfam's summary of the family: The signal recognition particle (SRP) is a universally conserved ribonucleoprotein involved in the co-translational targeting of proteins to membranes. Archaeal SRP consists of a 7S RNA and homologues of the eukaryotic SRP19 and SRP54 proteins. RNAcentral also lists the same sequence under 1 other name. The record is from RNAcentral. Lineage: Bacteria; Pseudomonadati; Myxococcota; Myxococcia; Myxococcales.